RNAcentral lists this long non-coding RNA (794 nucleotides) under Cricetulus griseus (Chinese hamster). RNAcentral describes it as "lncRNA (ENSCGRG00015035638.1)". Lineage: Eukaryota; Metazoa; Chordata; Mammalia; Rodentia; Cricetidae. The record is from RNAcentral.
CACUCCUCGGCUCAGGCACGACCCUCAGCGUAUUCGGCCAUUUCUUCCCUGUAGACCCUGGAGGCUAGAACCCUAAUCUCACGUGUAGCUUGCUUUCCGUCCCCUGCGUUUGCUUGCUGGUUCGAUCUUUACACGUUUUCUCCCAGUGGCAUGUCUGUAAGAUGGGCAUGAUCUGCAUUUGGGAGCUGUGUGAUCUUGGGUGAAUGACUUAGCCUCUCGGCGUCAGUGUACUCGUCUGAGAAAAGGCGCUGUGGAGCCCAAGGGCAGAGGAACUUACAGAGCUGUGGGUUUCUACGCUUGGGGGAAGCCACCCAGCUGGAAAACAGCCUGGAGCAAUGGAAGAGAAGUUCUCCACCCCUAUAGGUCCAUAAAGCCUGAGUCUGUUUUAGGCUUCUUCCUCCAGGACCAAAUCACAAUGAAUAGCCCCUAAGCCUCCCCACUUGGCCUGCUGAGCUAUCCUCUCCUGUGUCUGAUGAAUGCUGGAGUCAGUACAGCAAGUGCACUGGAUGGCUUUAUGUGCCAACUUGACACAAGCUAUGGAAUCAUCAGAGGAAGGAGCCUCAGCUGAGGAAGUGCCUCCUUGAGAUCCAGCUCUUCUGCAUCAGUUCCUGCUUCCGGAAUCCUGUCCUGUUUGAGUUCUUGUCCUGACUUCCUUUAAUGAUGAACAGCAGUGCUGAUGUCUAAGCCAAAUAAACCCUUUCCUCCCAAACUUGCUUUUUGGUCAUGGUGUUUUUAUCACAGUAAUAGAAACCCUAACUAAGACAGCAGGUAAGAUGUCCAUUCCAGAGGACCAG